Molecule: ribosomal RNA, 454 nt
Filed under: uncultured bacterium
Lineage: Bacteria
Description: partial 16S ribosomal RNA
Rfam family: Bacterial small subunit ribosomal RNA
Source: RNAcentral
GAUGAACGCUGACAGAAUGCUUAACACAUGCAAGUCCACUUGAACUUCGGUUUGGGUGGCGGACGGGUGAGUAACGCGUAAAGAACUUGCCUCACAGCUAGGGACAACAUUUGGAAACGAAUGCUAAUACCUGAUAUUAUGAUUAUAUGGCAUCGUAUAAUUAUGAAAGCUAUAUGCGCUGUGAGAGAGCUUUGCGUCCCAUUAGCUAGUUGGGGAGGUAACAGCUCACCAAGGCGAUGAUGGGUAGCCGGCCUGAGAGGGUGAUCGGCCACAAGGGGACUGAGACACGGCCCUUACUCAUACGGGAGGCAGCAGUGGGGAAUAUUGGACAAUGGACCGAGAGUCUGAUCCAGCAAUUCUGUGUGCACGAUGAAGUUUUUCGGAAUGUAAAGUGCUUUCAGUUGGGAAGAAAAAAAUGACGGUACCAACAGAAGAAGAGACGGCUAAAUACGUG